This is a long non-coding RNA of Lolium rigidum, 314 nucleotides long. RefSeq lists it as uncharacterized. The record is from RefSeq and is a predicted model, not a curated record. The transcript has 3 exons. NCBI's taxonomy places the organism in Eukaryota, Viridiplantae, Streptophyta, Magnoliopsida, Poales, Poaceae.
AUAUCUUCAAGCUGAUGAACAGCAGCGGAAUUACUGAGUCAGGGGAAAGCGAGAAGGUUUUGUUGCUGAUGGAAAGUGGUGCCAGGCUGCACACCACUCAAUAUGUUCGCGACAAGAGCAGCACACCUUCCGGAUUCACUCUCAAGCUGCGGAAACACGUUCGUAGCAAGAGGCUUGAAGAUGUCCGUAUGCUAGGAUAUGAUAGGAUGAUCCUUUUUCAAUUUGGACUUGGCAGUAAUGCACAUUUUAUAAUUCUGGAGUUUUAUGCCCAAGGAAAUAUCAUCCUCACAGAUUCGGAAUACACAGUGAUGACA